Chenopodium quinoa (quinoa) is the source of this 801-nucleotide long non-coding RNA. RefSeq lists it as uncharacterized. The record is from RefSeq and is a predicted model, not a curated record. The transcript is spliced from 3 exons. NCBI's taxonomy places the organism in Eukaryota, Viridiplantae, Streptophyta, Magnoliopsida, Caryophyllales, Amaranthaceae.
CUGAAAUUUUUUUUGUUUGUAUUUUCAGUUUCACUCCAAGUUCUCACGCUUAGCUUUCAAUUUUGCUCCUCCUUCCUCCUAGAGUUUCAUGAUUUCACUCCAACAAACUCCAUUCAAUUUGCAUAAUUUUUUGAUUUGGGUUCACUUUUAUUGGUUUUAUAUCAAGGUUUACAGGUAUGUAAUUUUUCAAUUAGGGUUCUUGUAAUUUUUCCUUACUUAAAUUCGAAAAUAGCCCCAAAAAUCGAAUUAAACUUUAUUGUUGAUCAGUUAGCGAAGUAAUUUCGAUUCUGAUUGUGUUCAUACUCCUCCAUCAACGGAGAGCAUCUUCCUCCUCAUCUUCGAUCUCCAACGAACGUUUUACUAUCAUUUUUUUUUGUUGGUUUUCGAAUUUGGAUUCAGCAAUAGUGCUUCUAUUGAGGUUUAAAGACAUGUUAGACAUGAUGGAUAGUAUCAUUGAACUGGGAGGAAACUUGGCAAUUUGAGGAUCACAUAGAUACUAUUAUCUUUGGACUUGAAGGAGACUUGGCAUAUUAAGGACCAGUUUUAUGUCUCAACCUUUUGUAGUAGCGAAAUUAUAGGCACACUCAGGGAGUAUUUGGCAAGAUUUGCAGCCUACAGCGAUGUAGAAUUGGAUGAGAUUCGGGAACAAUGGGCUAAGUUUUUUAGGCUUAAUUUUUUUGUUGAAAGACUAAUUGUCUUAUUAAUCGACGUUAUGAUUAAUCGCAUUUAGUUUAAUAAAACAAUAUAACACUUUUCUAUAUAUGCACUUUUAUUUAAUUAGCCUAUUGGUUAUUGUUGUUA